UGUGACAAAGGCAAACCCUGAGUGAUCAGGGGACGCAAAGUAAAGGAUCUUGUAACAGUGGACAGUGUUCGUGAACAGUGUCAGUAUACGUAACAGACACUCUCGUUCAUAACUGGCACGAUAGAAAUAAGAUGGCCUUGCUACCGAAA
RNAcentral lists this non-coding RNA (149 nucleotides) under Candidatus Jettenia. RNAcentral's name for it is "c-di-GMP sequence". It matches the Rfam family "c-di-GMP-I riboswitch aptamer". Rfam says of the family: GEMM was predicted in a large-scale screen for bacterial structured RNA regulatory elements. Genes associated with GEMM are involved in a diverse array of functions, including chemotaxis regulation, signal transduction, secretion and chitin. Lineage: Bacteria; Pseudomonadati; Planctomycetota; Candidatus Brocadiia; Candidatus Brocadiales; Candidatus Brocadiaceae. The record is from RNAcentral.